Molecule: ribosomal RNA, 291 nt
Filed under: uncultured bacterium
Lineage: Bacteria
Description: partial 16S ribosomal RNA
Rfam family: Bacterial small subunit ribosomal RNA
Source: RNAcentral
GUGGAUUAGAUACCCUGGUAGUCCUAGCCGUAAACGAUGGGUACUAGGUGUAGGAGGUAUCGACCCCUUCUGUGCCGGAGUUAACGCAAUAAGUACCCCGCCUGGGGAGUACGGCCGCAAGGUUGAAACUCAAAGGAAUUGACGGGGGCCCGCACAAGCGGUGGAGUAUGUGGUUUAAUUCGACGCAACGCGAAGAACCUUACCAGGACUUGACAUUGAUUGAAAAGUAUAGAGAUAUAUUCCUCUUCUUCGGAAGACAAGAAAACAGGUGGUGCAUGGUCGUCGCCAAUU